RNAcentral lists this ribosomal RNA (468 nucleotides) under uncultured bacterium. Its description in RNAcentral is "partial 16S ribosomal RNA". It matches the Rfam family "Bacterial small subunit ribosomal RNA", at positions 28 to 507 of the family's 1533-position model. The record is from RNAcentral.
GACGAACGCUGGCGGCGUGCUUAACACAUGCAAGUCGAACGGAAAGGCCCUGCUUUUGUGGGGUGCUCGAGUGGCGAACGGGUGAGUAACACGUGAGUAACCUGCCCUUGACUUUGGGAUAACUUCAGGAAACUGGGGCUAAUACCGGAUAGGAGCUCCUGCUGCAUGGUGGGGGUUGGAAAGUUUCGGCGGUUGGGGAUGGACUCGCGGCUUAUCAGCUUGUUGGUGGGGUAGUGGCUUACCAAGGCUUUGACGGGUAGCCGGCCUGAGAGGGUGACCGGCCACAUUGGGACUGAGAGACGGCCCAGACUCCUACGGGAGGCAGCAGUGGGGAAUAUGGCACAAUGGGCGGAAGCCUGAUGCAGCAACGCCGCGUGCGGGAUGACGGCCUUCGGGUUGUAAACCGCUGUCGCCUGUGACGAAGCGUGAGUGACGGUAAUGGGUAAAGAAGCACCGGCUAACUACGUG